AUGAAAGACCAUCUUGUAUAUUUCGUCCAUCUUCUUGUAUGUCAUCAUGGUGGCUUCAAAGUCCGGAAAUCUCCACUUGAACCUCUGUUCUUGUUCUCUUGUGGGUGUAACUGCGGUAGCCAUGUCCUCAUCAAGUAUGGCUACACACUUGUUAACUUCUCACAUUUGAUGCACAAAGGAGACAAGAUUGAACAUGAGCCUUUUAUUUUUCCUAACCAAGUCGAUCAAGUGUUUUACCUAGAAGACGAACUGAACCCAGGUUGGUCAGUGGUGAUGCAGAAUAAACUACCUAGAGAUAGAUGUGACAUUGGAAAUGAUGAAUGCACAUGA
Molecule: ribosomal RNA, 330 nt
Filed under: Triticum aestivum (bread wheat)
Lineage: Eukaryota; Viridiplantae; Streptophyta; Magnoliopsida; Poales; Poaceae
Description: partial small subunit ribosomal RNA
Source: RNAcentral